This is a long non-coding RNA of Megalobrama amblycephala (Wuchang bream), 3028 nucleotides long. RefSeq lists it as uncharacterized. The record is from RefSeq and is a predicted model, not a curated record. The transcript is spliced from 7 exons. Lineage: Eukaryota; Metazoa; Chordata; Actinopteri; Cypriniformes; Xenocyprididae.
AUAUUCCUCAUUUAAAUAAUUCCCGCAAAAUAAAGGGGCGGGGCCUGGUUGAGUUAGUUAGUAGUGUUUCAGAAAUGCACUAUUAGCAAUUAGCAAUUCUUUUACAUGAAAGAGAAAGUGAGAGUAUUGAGCUGGUCAUGUGAUCUCAACAUGGCAGCACUUUUAUUAGGAUACUAAUGUAACAUCUGCAUCACAUCAGAGUGUACAUGAUUUUAAACCCAUUUCUCAAAAAACAUUAACAAAUGCUCUAAAAAAUAUAUUGUUUCAUUGCUUAUGCAUUAACGAAAUGUUUCCAUAUUUACCAUUAUUAUUACCAUAUUAUCUUCCAGGUUAAAACUUUUUAAUGGGUUCAGUUUUAACAUUAUUUACAAUCGUAUACAAUCAAAAAUAUUCUGCAAUGCAAUAUAACGACACAUGUAUCAUGUUUCCUCAUGCACAAUCAAUGCAACCCCUCUUCAAAAUAACAUUUGUGUAAAAUAUAGCAGUUGAUAUUGUUUCAGCAUUUGACAAGCACAAAGAGGAUAUUUAAACAUCAUUGUGUUUGAAUGAUAAAAGCACUGAGGAUUCAAAACAAUAAAUUACAGCAUCGGGAACGAUGCAAAAUCAGUCCAGGAAGUGGUCAAAAGCAAGUGAAAAUACACACAUAUUAUUACCACCAAAAUGACGAUGAGUGCGAAAAAUAUAGUCUGUGCCCUCAUGUACGAGCUGCGUUUCUUCCGUUCAGCAUCUUGCCCUUUUUUCUUCAUAAUCCCACCUGUGUAGGUUUACAAUAUCCAGCAAAAACAGCCCACGGCCUUGGUUUUUUGUCCCCGCAACUGUUGCAAACAAUCCGUACCCUCGGCUCCACCUUCGUUUCAGGCCUGGGCAAUGUUUUAACAGGCCCUCGGGGAGAGACGGGACAAAUGCACGACGGAGAAAAGAAAGAAAAUAUGGAGGUGAGUGAGAAACAAAAGACGGCUUUAUAAGAGACUCUUUGAGCAGCUUUGUUUGGUGGUCUUUGCAGGCUCAUAGAUGUGGUGUGACGGGUCGUCAUGGAGCAGGUGGCUCUCCUCUGAUGCUUACACCUCCCAUCCACCCUUGGGACCCUGAAUGCACGGCUGAUGAAAUCUCACAGGUGUGGACAGGUCUGGAGUCAGCAGCCACCAUGGAUACGCUAAUACUGCUUUUACUGCAUGCAGGCACAUCCAGACUCUCCCUGUCUGAGCGACCUGCCUACAGGCUAUUGUGACCGGUUUGCCCUGCUGCGUCUCCCUGAAUCUUCAUCCCUUCAACAAUGGCAGGGGUCAGCAGGGGUCGUCAGGGGUGUAGGACCCCAGGGAAACGGCAUCUCGUGCUUCCCUCAAGCACUUCCUGUGCAUGUCACUCCAGAGCCAGGCCCGUGUCUCUGAUCAAAGGCCAAAAACAGGAGAAGACAACAGGGUGACACUGACAUGUCUGCACGCUGAAGGAUGUCCUGAGCAGGGUGGGGUGAAUUGUGAUUUGGCUUCUCAGAAGCCCCUGCAUCCUCAACCCGGGAACCCUGCGGCAGGGCUGACCAUCACCAUGGCAACUCAAGCACGGGUCUCAUGGAAAGGAUGGAAGACAAUAGUGGAGAAGUGACAUCUCAUUCAUUUGUGCUGGUCCAGGUCCAUCCACAUGAUGACACGAGUUCAGCCACGGAUCCAUGUGCCUCGGAGUCGGAGGAUGAUUGAUUCUGUCUGAAAACAACAUUGUGUUUACAAGCCUUUGAGGAAGAACAAUUCACUGGAUUCGACCAUAUUUAUCAGGCGAUUCCAAUAUUCCUCCAGCCGAGAUGUUUUUCUGGAAACACGUACACCUGUCAGAUGGGAAGAGAUUUCAUCAAAGAGACAUGUGUGCCACAGAAGGCCGAACAAUGCUGUUUAUUAUCUGUGAAUGACAGGCUUCGCAGCCAACGAACAAACACCCUCUCAUCGGUUUGGCCGGAACUCAAAGAAUCUCACAUGUGGAGACGUCAUGGAAAAGGGUUGAAGUUCUAGUCGUCACAUGUGGACGAUGGCGUGAAACACUGCGGUACUGUCCGGGAGAAAGCGGGUGUUGAGCGACGGAAAGCUGAGAUUGGAUGAGAGAGUGGGUCACCCUGAGUUUAAAAACAGCCAAGAGACACGUGGGACGCCCGUCUGGUUAUUAAAGGCCGUUUAUACCAACCAGACGCAUGAAAGAGCUAUUCAUUAACCCUGAUGUUUACAUGGUGACUAAGGCUGAAGGAAUCUGUCGAUUCAACUCAACCUGCUUGAGCUCAAUGAAACUCAGUGCUGGUUUGGCACCGUAAACCGUAAAGGCCAUUAAUGCUUUACAACAGCGAUUGUAUGUGAUGACCGAAAGUAACGAUUGCACUAUUGAUGCUCUCGGCAUCCUUCAAACUGGUUAUUCUGAUGCGAUGCAAUCGCGUUUAAUGAAUAAUUCACCCCGAAAUUAAAUUGUUGUAAUUAUUUACUUGUCCUCAUAUCGUUUUGUUGUCAUUGCAUAGAAAAAAAAGCUGCCUCAGAAGUUCUCCUUUUGAUUUUUGGGUUUGGAUUGUUAAUUAGUAAAUCAUUUUUGGGAAUUAUGUGAAGAAUCUGUACAAUUGAUAAUCGUGUUCUUGAUAUGAUGUAUUACGCACUUGUAGCCUAUUUAACUCUUUCCUCUCCGUUUUAAAGGCAAGAAAUCUAAUUCCCAAUGUGUUUUGAUGGUUAACACUAUGCAAGCAAUACUGUAGGAUUUCUAAUCAGGCACUAAACAGGAUACGCCAAUGAAAUCAGUUGAGUCUUUUGAGGGGAUUGCUUGAUAUUGGACUGAUUUUGUUAAACUGGAGACAUACAGAAGUAGCUAAAAUAAAGCAAAUAAACAAUGAAAGAUGGUAAUAGCUCUUGUUUGCACAUUCUUAUGAAGAUUCCUGCCCAGUUUGACAGUCUAUGGACAGUCAACUGAAAACGGAAAACAUUUAAUGCAUUUUGGCCAUUCAUUUACACGACAAUGGUGUUUUGAGGGACUUAAAAUGCAAACUUUUGAAAACAGGUUUCAAAGUGCA